UACAGAGGGGGCAAGCGUUGUUCGGAAUUACUGGGCGUAAAGGGCGCGUAGGCGGCCUGUUAAGUCGAACGUGAAAUCCCCGGGCUCAACCCGGGAACUGCGUCCGAUACUGGCAGGCUUGAAUUCGGGAGAGGGAUGCGGAAUUCCAGGUGUAGCGGUGAAAUGCGUAGAGAUCAUGAGGAAGACCAGUGGCGAAGGCGGGUCUCUGGACAGUUCCUGACACUGAGGCACGAAGGCCAGGGGAGCAAACGGG
RNAcentral lists this ribosomal RNA (253 nucleotides) under uncultured bacterium. RNAcentral describes it as "partial 16S ribosomal RNA". It matches the Rfam family "Bacterial small subunit ribosomal RNA", at positions 524 to 776 of the family's 1533-position model. The record is from RNAcentral.